GCAUAGCGAAAUGGAUAAAAGGGGAGUCCCCUCCCCAGAAAGUUCAAGUUUAUUUUUCAAUACCAAAACCCUUGUAAAACCCUAUUCUAUUGGAUCUCAGAUCAUCAAUUGGCGCCGUCUGUGGGAAACGAAGGAGAUCUUUUCAUCACCGGAGUUUUCACUUUCAAAACCCACUGAGAUCCACGAUGGCAAACCACCAAGAAAGUAACCUUAACAUUCCAAAUGACCUGAGCUCUGCCCAAGAUGGGCAGCAGUUCUCCUUUUCUAGCCCUACAACGUUGAAUAACCAAACGCCUAUCCCUCUUAACCCCUCGCCAAGCUUGGCAGGGA
Molecule: long non-coding RNA, 330 nt
Filed under: Manihot esculenta (cassava)
Lineage: Eukaryota; Viridiplantae; Streptophyta; Magnoliopsida; Malpighiales; Euphorbiaceae
Description: long non-coding RNA (MESC_LNC007939)
Source: RNAcentral